GCUGGGAGUUGUGGCGUGCUCCUGUAAUCCAGCUACUCGGAAGCUUGGUUGGUUGGCCGGUUUGAGGAUGGGAGUUCUGGUAGUCGGUCUUCUAUGGCGAUCGGGUGUCCGCGCUAAGCUCGGCAUCAAUAUGGUGCUGGAGAGGGAGCUCAUCAGGACCAGGUUGUCUAAGGAGGGUCGCUUCGGCCCAGGGCGGAAACGCAGCAGGCAAAAGGCCCCGUGUCGAGCAGUAGUGGGAUCGUGCCUGUGAAUAGUUGUCGGUUGGCAGCCUGUUCGAUACAACUGAACACCAAUCUUU
Molecule: non-coding RNA, 298 nt
Organism: Octopus bimaculoides (California two-spot octopus)
Lineage: Eukaryota; Metazoa; Mollusca; Cephalopoda; Octopoda; Octopodidae
Source: Rfam